This 429-nucleotide ribosomal RNA is filed under the name uncultured bacterium. RNAcentral describes it as "bacterial SSU rRNA". It matches the Rfam family "Bacterial small subunit ribosomal RNA", at positions 355 to 776 of the family's 1533-position model. The record is from RNAcentral.
UGGGGAAUAUUGGACAAUGGGCGAAAGCCUGAUCCAGCAAUGCCGCGUGUGUGAAGAAGGCCUGCGGGUUGUAAAGCACUUUCGGUUGGGAAGAAAUGCCUCGUGUUAAUACCUAGAGGCUUUGACACUACCUUCAGAAGAAGCACCGGCUAACUCCGUGCCAGCAGCCGCGGUAAUACGGAGGGUGCGAGCGUUAAUCGGAAUUACUGGGCGUAAAGCGCGCGUAGGCGGCUGGGUAAGUCGGAUGUGAAAGCCCUGGGCUUAACCUGGGAAUGGCAUUCGAUACUGCCCGACUAGAGUAUGGUAGAGGAAAGCGGAAUUCCCGGUGUAGCGGUGAAAUGCGUAGAUAUCGGGAGGAACAUCAGUGGCGAAGGCGGCUUUCUGGACCAAUACUGACGCUGAGGCGCGAAAGCGUGGGUAGCAAACAGG